Molecule: microRNA precursor, 52 nt
Filed under: Camelus bactrianus (Bactrian camel)
Lineage: Eukaryota; Metazoa; Chordata; Mammalia; Artiodactyla; Camelidae
Also listed under: 2 other names
Description: mir-1302 microRNA precursor family
Rfam family: mir-1302 microRNA precursor family
Source: Rfam by way of RNAcentral
UUUUUAGUGUAAGUAUGCCCUAUGCAAUGUUUGGGACAUACUUAUACUAAAA